UUGAAUGAACUUGGUAUGGUUGUUGCUGGCCCCUUUGGGGGCAUGUGCACACCUGCCAUUCUCAUCUCUCCACCUGUGCACGUUUUGUAGAUUUGGAAUGACUUUCUGAGGAAACUCAGUCGGGAGGAUUGCUGGUCUUUCUGGCUUUCCUUGUAUUUCCAAGUCUAUGUUUUUCAUAUACCCCAUUGUAUGUAACAGAAUGUAUUAUUAGGCCUUUGCGCCUAUAAAAACUAUA
Molecule: unclassified non-coding RNA, 235 nt
Filed under: uncultured Anamika
Lineage: Eukaryota; Fungi; Basidiomycota; Agaricomycetes; Agaricales; Cortinariaceae
Description: sequence contains ITS1
Source: RNAcentral